GUGAAUAUAGCGCAUCUCUUCGGAGAGCGUGACCUCCACUUUCAACUCUGUGCAUUUUUUGGCGAGGGAACGAGACGAAGCGACGCAAGUUGCAGACUCUCGCCUCUUGCGGCUCAUUUUAAACACUAGUUAAAGUAUGUAACGAAAUAUCGAAACAAAAAA
This 162-nucleotide unclassified non-coding RNA is filed under the name soil metagenome. RNAcentral describes it as "partial internal transcribed spacer 1". The record is from RNAcentral.